AUCUGUUGAGGACAAAUAAAAUGAAUGUGAGAGUCUAUUCCUCCUGCAGUCAAAAUGUGCCCCUCGCCCGCAAUGGCCUCAGUUCCAGGGCCAAUGACAAUAUCGACCCCUGGCUGGGUAUCGGGAUUACCGGCCUUGCCUACCUUCCAGAUCCGACCAUUUUUAAUUCCAACAUCCGCUUUUACGAUUCCCCAAUAAUCAAUAAUUAGAGCAUUAGUGAUAACCGUAUCAGCGGCAGCGGCUGACAGAGAUUGGCUUUGGCCCAUUCCGUCCCU
This 275-nucleotide small RNA is filed under the name marine eukaryotic metagenome. Its description in RNAcentral is "5' ureB small RNA". It matches the Rfam family "5' ureB small RNA". The record is from RNAcentral.